CAAAACUACGGUCUCAGUUCAGAUUGCAGGCUGCAACUCGCCUGCAUGAAGUUGGAAUUGCUAGUAAUCGCGAAUCAGAAUGUCGCGGUGAAUACGUUCCCGGGCCUUGUACACACCGCCCGUCACACCAUGAGAGUUGGGAAUACCCGAAGCCUGUGAGCUAACGAAAGAGGCAGCAGUCGAAGGUAGAAUCAAUGAUUGGGGUGAAGUCGUAACAAGGUAGC
RNAcentral lists this ribosomal RNA (224 nucleotides) under uncultured bacterium. Its description in RNAcentral is "partial 16S ribosomal RNA". It matches the Rfam family "Bacterial small subunit ribosomal RNA", at positions 1275 to 1500 of the family's 1533-position model. The record is from RNAcentral.